ACAAAGUGGGAGGUAAACUCCUUCUAAAGCUAAAUAUCACCACGAGACCGAUAGCGAACAAGUACCGUGAGGGAAAGUUGAAAAGCACUCUGAAUAGAGAGUCAAAAAGUACGUGAAACUGCCUAGGGCUCAAGCCCGUUGAACUCGAUUAUCCGAGCGGAGACAUUCACCUGCGGCCGGGCUUUGCCGCCCAUGCUGCAGGGCACUUGUCUCCCGCGCUACACGAGGACAUUGCGAUCCAUUACGAAACAGCUUCUGCGUCGCAAGACGCAAGGUCGCCCGACAGUUGCCCCUUGGUGCCGGUUGCUUGCCCCACCGUAGCGACGCUCAGUUCUGAAGGCCUGUGCCGCGAGCUGGGGCUUACUGCACGUGGUGUUUGCAGUCGGGCGCGUGAUGGAUUCCAGCGUACACCGUCGGCCUUCCCGCAAUGGGCCGACGGACUGUCGAUCGGCAAUGAUAAAAUCGAGGUACCU
RNAcentral lists this ribosomal RNA (473 nucleotides) under Aedes japonicus japonicus. Its description in RNAcentral is "eukaryotic LSU rRNA". It matches the Rfam family "Eukaryotic large subunit ribosomal RNA", at positions 287 to 612 of the family's 3401-position model. Lineage: Eukaryota; Metazoa; Arthropoda; Insecta; Diptera; Culicidae. The record is from RNAcentral.